Molecule: ribosomal RNA, 97 nt
Filed under: uncultured bacterium
Lineage: Bacteria
Description: partial 16S ribosomal RNA
Rfam family: Bacterial small subunit ribosomal RNA
Source: RNAcentral
CACACCGCCCGUCACACCAUGAAAGUUGGCUGUACCAGAAGUCGCCGUGCUAACCGCAAGGAGGUAGGCGCCCAAGGUAUGGUCGAUGAUUGGGGUG